UGAUGUGGAUUAAUUCGAUGCAACGCGAAAACCUUACCUACCCUUGACAUGUCCGGAAUCCCGAAGAGAUUUGGGAGUGCUCGCAAGAGAACCGGAACACAGGUGCUGCAUGGCUGUCGUCAGCUCGUGUCGUGAGAUGUUGGGUUAAGUCCCGCAACGAGCGCAACCCUUGUCAUUAGUUGCCAUCAUUUGGUUGGGCACUCUAAUGAGACUGCCGGUGACAAACCGGAGGAAGGUGGGGAUGACGUCAAGUCCUCAUGGCCCUUAUGGGUAGGGCUUCACACGUCAUACAAUGGUCGGUACAGAGGGUUGCCAACCCGCGAGGGGGAGCUAAUCCCACAAAGCCGAUCGUAGUCCGGAUCGCAGUCUGCAACUCGACUGCGUGAAGUCGGAAUCGCUAGUAAUCGCGGAUCGGCAUGUCGCGGUGAAUACGUUCCCGGGUCUU
Molecule: ribosomal RNA, 445 nt
Filed under: uncultured Rhodocyclaceae bacterium
Lineage: Bacteria; Pseudomonadati; Pseudomonadota; Betaproteobacteria; Rhodocyclales; Rhodocyclaceae
Description: bacterial SSU rRNA
Rfam family: Bacterial small subunit ribosomal RNA
Source: RNAcentral